RNAcentral lists this ribosomal RNA (444 nucleotides) under uncultured bacterium. RNAcentral describes it as "partial 16S ribosomal RNA". It matches the Rfam family "Bacterial small subunit ribosomal RNA", at positions 339 to 795 of the family's 1533-position model. The record is from RNAcentral.
CUACGGGAUGCACCAGUGGGGAAUAUUGCACAAUGGGCGCAAGCCUGAUGCAGCAACGCCGCGUGAGGGAUGAAGGCCUUCGGGUUGUAAACCUCUUUUAGCAGGGAAGAAGCGAAAGUGACGGUACCUGCAGAAAAAGCACCGGCUAACUACGUGCCAGCAGCCGCGGUAAUACGUAGGGUGCAAGCGUUGUCCGGAAUUAUUGGGCGUAAAGAGCUCGUAGGCGGUUUGUCACGUCUGCUGUGAAAAUCCAAGGCUCAACCUUGGACUUGCAGUGGGUACGGGCAGGCUAGAGUGCGGUAGGGGAGAUGGGAAUGCCUGGUGUAGCGGUGGAAUGCGCAGAUAUCAGGAGGAACACCAAUGGCGAAGGCACAUCUCUGGGCCGUAACUGACGCUGAGGAGCGAAAGCGUGGGGAGCGAACAGGAUUAGAUACCCGGGUAGUC